AAAUUUUGAAGAGAAAUUAAGGAUUUCAUCUAAGUUGGUUGUGGAAAAAAUUGAAAGAUUUGUGAGAAAAAAACUUAGUUGCCUAGAAAGAAAAAACUGAAGAGGAGCUAAAAUGAAGAAAUCAAAAUUUAUUUAGAAACAAGUCAAAAUUUAUGAGUUGGAAAAACAGUGGCUUUAAACGAUGGCUGGUAACAACCGUUAUUUUACAUUCAUAAUGGUUUUUAAGGAUGUGAUUAACUUGUCACUAGGACUCUCUCUCGUUUGAACUAGAGAGAAACUCUCUUUUAUCUGAACUUCGGUUCUUCCUCUGCAGCUUCAUCCGCCUGUUACUGUCGCUUCCGUGCGUCCCUUCCUUUGUCCAAGGAGUGGGUUUCUUCCUCUCCCCAUUUGAAUAGGGUAAUAUGCGUAAAUAAAUUUCUUAUUUCUUUUUGGAGCAAAUUUGUAGUUAAAUGAGAUUUUGUAUUGAUCUACUCAUUUUGGUUUGUUGUGGUUAGUUAUUAUUUGUUUUCGAUUGUGCAUGCAGGAUCCGUCGCUUCAUCGGCUCGUUUCUAGCUCCAUUUUGCCCCUGCUUGCACCAAGGAGAGAAAGAUCUUCCCUCGAGUGGGACUUUCUUCUUCCUUUAGAGUUUUCUCUGUGGCUCAUUUGUUAGUGCUCCAUCUUGUUUUCUUCGAUUUAUUUUGGUUGGGGGAAGGCUCCAUGCUUUAGUUGCCAAGUCACUCUAGGUUCCGAUACAACCUUCUUGCUAUAGGCAGUGAAUCCUCAAGGCGUUGAAGCCGUCAAAGAGCCCUGCUUGAUCUUCUCCUUCGCUUAGCACAAAUUGAGUCUAGGGCGGUACUUCUGCAUUUGGCUACUGGGUUUUUGUUGAGUUGAGUUCCUUCUGUGUUGCUUUUGGUUAUCCUUGCUUCUUAAGUUUGAAAACUAUCAAUCGGUGUUAACUUGGUGAGCUUCCGACAACUGUCUCGGCGGCGACAAAAUGAAAGUUUUCUCCGCUCAGUAUAGUGUUUCCCUGUUGUGGGCUUGAACUUAUAGGUCCAGGGCUGCUUUAGUGUGAGCUUAAUCCUAUUUUUUUGUAUAUGUUAAGGCCUUAACAGUUCUUUAAGCCUUGUAUUCUUCACGAGUCUUGUGCCUUUUAAUAAAAUUCUUUAUGAUCUACA
This 1154-nucleotide long non-coding RNA is filed under the name Manihot esculenta (cassava). Its description in RNAcentral is "long non-coding RNA (MESC_LNC000405)". The record is from RNAcentral. Lineage: Eukaryota; Viridiplantae; Streptophyta; Magnoliopsida; Malpighiales; Euphorbiaceae.